This 775-nucleotide ribosomal RNA is filed under the name uncultured Neocallimastigales. RNAcentral's name for it is "partial large subunit ribosomal RNA". It matches the Rfam family "Eukaryotic large subunit ribosomal RNA", at positions 18 to 642 of the family's 3401-position model. The record is from RNAcentral. Lineage: Eukaryota; Fungi; Neocallimastigomycota; Neocallimastigomycetes; Neocallimastigales.
UCAGACGAUGCGUCAUGCAUAUCAAUAAGCGGAGGAAAAGACACUAACAAGGAUUCCCCUAGUAACGGCGAGUGAAGCGGGAAGAGCUCAAAUUUGAAAUCUUAAAGGGUUUCCCUUUACGAAUUGUAGUUUAAAGAAGUGUUUUCUGUUGAGGUUUUGGUAAAAGUUCUUUGGAAUAGGACAUCAUAGAGGGUGAGAAUCCCGUAUUUGACCUUUACUUUCAACUUUGUGAUACACUUUCAAAGAGUCGGAUUGUUGGGGAACGCAGUCCAAAAUGGGUGGUAAAUUUCAUCUAAAGCUAAAUAUUGGCGAGAGACCGAUAGCGAACAAGUACCAGUGAGGGAAAGAUGAAAAGAACUUUGAAAAGAGAGUUAAAACAGUACGUGAAAUUGUCAAAAGGGAAGCGUUUGACACCAGUGUUGUUUUUCUGAAAAUCAAUUAAAGAACUGUUUAUGCUAAGCUGUUUAGACUUUAUCAGCUAUCUGUUUAGUUUUGAGCUUUUCUUUAAUGCACUUUUCAGUUAACAAGUCAACAUCAAUUUCUUUUGCUGUAAAAAAGCUUGAGGAAGGUGGCUUGAGAUUCGUCUUAAGUGUUUAUAGCCUCUUGCCUAUGCAGUCGGAGAGAUUGAGGUCUGCAGCGUAGAUCCUUCGGGGCUAAAUGCAUUUGUGCUAAGUUAUAGCAUUUUAUAGACAACUUGUUGACUAUGAUUUGUCUUGUAGCUUACUCGCUUAUGUUAUUUUACCUACGCUUAGGAUGUUGACACACGCGCGUGCUC